CCAUUCUCAAGGAGCUUUCAAAUGAAAGCUAGCAUUAGGAAUGCUGAAAGCCCAAGGCAGGUGGGGACCUGCUUUGAGCUUUCAGCAUUUUCGGAAUGCUACUUCCAUGAAUUAAUGAAAUUUGGUCAGUUACCCUUUUUGCCCUCAAAAUCUUUUGAAAAGCCCAAUUUUGCCCCUUUUAUAAAAUAAGACCCUUACCUCUCUAGAACCUCCACCUCUCAUUCCCUCGCUCGACGCUCGACUGUGCUUGAGUUGCGAGAGCCUCCACUCCUGCUCAUUUCUCUUGCUCGAUUGCCGUUCUUUCGCUUCCUUGGUUUCGCACAAGAAUCCAUCUCUUCACUUAGUUCCUCACCCAUUGCUCGCUCUCUCACUCGCCUUCAAAUCGCAUCUCUCCGCAGCAAUCGAAGAUAAAGGAAGCAGUUGGUGUACUGAAGCCCCACUUGACUAGUUCGAUUAGCGCCGUUGAUGCAAUUCAAGAGUUGGAAAGCAAUGGCAACAAUGGGCUUCACUGUAGUGUGGGUCGGAGGCUCAAGUUUUGUCAUGUCAAGCUGAGGGAGUAGUUGCCUGGCCAUAGUAGUUGCCGGGCCGUAGACUCUUCUAUGAGAUUUCAGAAUAGAUGGGAGAAUCAUUCUAGCUGUACAAUUUUUGUUUCUUGACCCUUGAUGUAAUCAGUUCAUGUUAAUAAAUGAAAUGUUAUUUUGCUGAAGAAUCAAUAUCUAUUUCCAGUUGAUGAGUGAUGUAUGCUGUGUAACUUUGAGUCAAUUUUAACGAUGCAUAAAUGCACCUUGAGAUCGAUGUGA
Molecule: long non-coding RNA, 800 nt
Organism: Syzygium oleosum
Lineage: Eukaryota; Viridiplantae; Streptophyta; Magnoliopsida; Myrtales; Myrtaceae
Exons: 2
Source: RefSeq, a predicted model, not a curated record